RNAcentral lists this ribosomal RNA (253 nucleotides) under uncultured bacterium. Its description in RNAcentral is "partial 16S ribosomal RNA". It matches the Rfam family "Bacterial small subunit ribosomal RNA", at positions 524 to 776 of the family's 1533-position model. The record is from RNAcentral.
UACGGGGGGGGCAAGCGUUGUUCGGAAUUACUGGGCGUAAAGGGCUCGUAGGCGGCCAACUAAGUCAGACGUGAAAUCCCUCGGCUUAACCGGGGAACUGCGUCUGAUACUGGAUGGCUUGAGAUUGGGAGAGGGAUGCGGAAUUCACGGUGUAGCAGUGAAAUGCGUAGAUAUCGUGAGGAACACCAGAGGCGAAGGCGGCUACCUGGACAAUUGCUGACGCUCAGGCACGAAAGCGUGGGGAGCAAAAGGG